UACGUAGGGUGCUAGCGUUGUCCGGAUUUAUUGGGCGUAAAGAGCUCGUAGGCGGUCUGUCGCGUCGGAUGUGAAAACCCAGGGCUCAACCCUGGGCCUGCAUUCGAUACGGGCAGACUAGAGUGUGGCAGGGGAGACUGGAAUUCCUGGUGUAGCGGUGAAAUGCGCAGAUAUCAGGAGGAACACCGGUGGCGAAGGCGGGUCUCUGGGCCAAUACUGACGCUGAGGAGCGAAAGCGUGGGGAGCGAACAGG
Molecule: ribosomal RNA, 253 nt
Filed under: uncultured bacterium
Lineage: Bacteria
Description: partial 16S ribosomal RNA
Rfam family: Bacterial small subunit ribosomal RNA
Source: RNAcentral